Long non-coding RNA from Gouania willdenowi (blunt-snouted clingfish), 2174 nucleotides. NCBI's taxonomy places the organism in Eukaryota, Metazoa, Chordata, Actinopteri, Blenniiformes, Gobiesocidae. The record is from Ensembl.
UUAACUUCAGAUCAAACUGGGCCGUACGUUGCUCCUGGACUGAAAUUCAGUGUGCGUGUGUGCGUGUGUGUGUGUGUCCCCCUCAGGUGAAGCUAUGCUGGGACGAUCUGACGGCUGCUCACUGCGUCCAAUCAGCAGCCACUCAAAGCGCCUCCAGUCCCAUCCAGCUGGAUUUCCCUCAGGCUCAGGGAGCUCAGAUGGAUGCGUGUUUUCCUCCAGGAAGCCUUCCUACACGUCCAGAAUCUGAUAGUCCUGAUCCACAGCUGGACCCACUGCUUGAACCACCGCUUGAACCAGAGCUAAGACCACAGCUGGAACAACAGCUUGAAACACAGCUGGGACCACAGCUGGGACCACAACUAGGACAACAGCUGGGACCACAGCUGGAACAACAGCUGGGACCACAACGAGGACAACAGCUGGGACCACAACUAGGACAAGAGCUUGGACCACAGCUGGGCAUCGUUCUCUCCCAACAGGCCAAGAUGUUACUCCAGCAGAUGCAGACCUUUGGCGAUCUACUGAAGAGUAGAAAACUGAGUCUUGAAAAGCAAACAGAGGGUUUGUGUCACCUCAGUGAAACUUUGGACUCGUUGGUAAAAAGUUUCCUCCUGACGAAGAAGGAGUUACGCCGCCUGAAGAAGCAGCACAGAGCAGACCUGGGUUGUCUUGACCCCACACGGAUGUUGAAGGCACAGAUCUACUACUCUGUGUAUCUCAUGAGGAAGCUGAAGAAGUAUCAGGAGCAGCUCUGUGAGACUCCGCCCCCCUCCUUCCCUGUUCAGCCCGUGUGCUCGUCCACUCCACGAACCCCCCCACAGUUUCCAGCUGAUCCUGUUGAGAUGAAGGAACUGAGGUCAACCAGAGAAGGAAGUGACGACGACUACAAACACACACUCACCUCUCACUUCCUCCCACCUCUGAGCGAUGCUCACACACACAUGGAUCAUGUCCGAUUGUUCCGCUGUGAUUCCAUUGAGUCCAUCUCUGCUGAGGAAAGCUCCAGGAAUCCUCCGUCUGUUUUUCACCCGCCCACAAACGCCAGAACGGCUCAGCAGGAGAAAAGUGGGAGGAGCCGCAGCCUCUACUGCUCGUCACCGCAGCGUGUCACAUGCAGCAGCAUCAGCAGCAUCAGCAGCAGUAAGAACAGUCAUUUCCCCUUUAACGACCCUCAUUUAUCACCCGUUCCUACGCUACAUCUGGGCCGUAGCACCACACUUUGGGCCCUGGGUACUAACCCUCUUCUUGGGCCCCUACUGUAAGUUAUGUGCACUUGUGUCUGAUUCCAGGGAUGAGAUCCAAUGUUCAGCCUCCUGCUCUGAUGUCCAGAUCCACUCAGACCUCAGCAGCAGUGGAGAGGAGCAGCCGGACGCCACAGCACCGUGAGAACCUUCUUUAUUCAACCAGUUCAGAGUUCUCAGUGAGAGAAACGUCUCUGAUUUAUAUCAACUAAACAGCUUCCUCACAUUCACAUCAGGGAAAGGAAACCAGGAGAGACACUGGUUAUGAUGAACAUGGCAAAAAUCAUCAUGAAAUCUGGUGAAAAGAGGUUAAAAGUGACAAUAAUGGGUCAACAUAUAAACAUUAGGUGUAAAAGUGGUAGAAAGGGUUUAUAAGUGCUGAACAUGUCUGGAAAGUGGAAAAAAUGUGUAGAAAAGACAUUAAAAUGUGAUGUAGAAGUGUCAGAAAUGGGAGUAAUGUAGCAAAUAUAAAUUAAAAGGAGCAAAAAUAUGGAAAGAAAAAGUGAUGAAAAUAGGUUAAAAUAUGGUGAGUUUGGUGAAGUUACAGAAAAAUGAUAAAAAUAAGCAAAAAUGGGCUGAAAUUGUUCAAAAGAUAUUCACACACACACACUUUCUUCUGACUGAGCACUCACUGAAUGGAACUCCUAACCUGCUUUAUGAUUGGCAGACUGUUGCAGAGACUCCACCCCUCAUCGGGUCAGACCAGUGAAGAGCCAACACAACCGUGCUCUUUUUCUACGCCAGUUUCUGCCAGGGUGUCCACCUCAAAAACUGUAAGUACACACACACACACACAAUAUACAAAAUAACUCCACAAACACACAAAACAACAAAAAGACUCAAAAUAAUAUGAAAAACACAGAAAUGGAUUGGAAAAAUACACAAAGGAACAAAAAAUGUAACAAAACAAUAAAUAAUUAAUCCAGAAAUACA